GCCGGGGUAGCUCAGCGGUAGAGCACGCGGCUGAAAACCGCGGUGUCGGCGGUUCGAUUCCGCCCCCCGGCACCA
This 75-nucleotide transfer RNA is filed under the name Pseudomonadota bacterium. Its description in RNAcentral is "tRNA-Phe". It matches the Rfam family "tRNA". Rfam says of the family: Transfer RNA (tRNA) molecules are approximately 80 nucleotides in length. RNAcentral also lists the same sequence under 2 other names. Lineage: Bacteria; Pseudomonadati; Pseudomonadota. The record is from RNAcentral.